This 451-nucleotide ribosomal RNA is filed under the name uncultured bacterium. RNAcentral's name for it is "bacterial SSU rRNA". It matches the Rfam family "Bacterial small subunit ribosomal RNA", at positions 354 to 796 of the family's 1533-position model. The record is from RNAcentral.
GUCGAGAGGCUUCGGCAAUGGGGGAAACCCUGACCGAGCGACGCCGCGUGCAGGAUGAAGGCCCUUGGGUUGUAAACUGCUUUUGUCGGGGAAGAAAUGCGAUCAGGUGAACAAUCUGGUCGUUUGACGGUACCCGACGAAUAAGCUCCGGCUAACUCCGUGCCAGCAGCCGCGGUAACACGGGGGGAGCAAGCGUUGUUCGGAAUCACUGGGCGUAAAGGGCGUGUAGGCGGUCAGGUAAGUGGGAUGUGAAAGCCCCCGGCUCACCCGGGGAUCUGCAUCCCAAACUGCCUGGCUUGAGUACGGGAGAGGAUAGGGGAAUUCCUGGUGUAGCGGUGAAAUGCGUAGAUAUCAGGAGGAACACCGGUGGCGAAGGCGCCUAUCUGGCCCGAUACUGACGCUGAGGCGCGAAAGCUAGGGGAGCAAACGGGAUUAGAUACCCGAGUAGUCC